GUUGUUUUUUUUUUGGAGUGAAUGCAUUCCAGGAGUGUAGCAGGGCCUGGGAAAUCCUCUGUGUUUGCUGAUAGGAGGAGGGAAAAGGCUUCUGAAAUACUGAAGGUUUCUGAGCACUGCAGUUGCUCAGCUUCUGCCAUCAAAUCACAUUCAAUUUAGGAGAGUCAUGCAGGUAUUUUAUAAUCGUUGACAAAAAGCAGCCACUGGGUAGCUGAGAAGCUAUACGUGUGUGCAUAAUAUAUUAUUUUUUGGUGGUAGCACUAGCAUCCAUGGGAAGCCACUUUAGGUAGAUUUAAGAGGAUUCUGUCCAACUGUGAUACCGAUGAAUAACAGAAAUAAUCUAAUAUUACUCUUUGUAUACCUGUGUUACCAGUGCUAUUACAAGUCAUACCAUUGAUACACGGUGCAGGAGGAACUAAGCACUUCAGAUGCACUGGGCUGUAAUGGAGUGAGAGCUGGACACCUGUAUGCAGAUCACUACAUGAGACACUGAAACCAGUAUCUCUCCUUGAACCAUUUCUCAUCUUACUUUCCAUAGGUGGACAGAAACGAAAAGAGAAAGAGCCAGCCAAGUUAAUGGGAAUAGUCCCUUUUAUAUCCUCUUUCUCUGCCUCUUGUGCACUCAGAACAGAGAGAGCCAUCAAUGGCAUCACUCCCAUUGAAACAACUAAAAUUAACAAGUCCAAAUCCUUCCUAUCCAAGCGACCACGAAUGCAGCUGGAUCAGAAGCCCUCGGUUAAGCAGCUCCUGAAAUUCUACCAGAAGUUUAUUAGUAUGGUAAUUUAUCUGGAAAUCAAUGGGCGGAUGAUGAAGCGUUCCCUGCAGCUAUAAACGAAGAGGUUGAGCACAUUUAGUGCUGGAGAGAUCUGACUGUGCAAUUGCUCCCAGGCUCAGCACAAGGAGCUGCUGGAGUGCUGCAGGACAAGGAGAAUCACACUCUGGGCUGAGAAGCCAGGCAAAGUGCUGGUCCUCCUGCACACAGCGAGAGAGGCUCCUGCAAAACCAAGGUCUGCCCGGUGAUGACACUGUUGGCCUUCUAUGGAGUGCCAUCCUGGUUUCUGGUGACGUCUC
RNAcentral lists this long non-coding RNA (1071 nucleotides) under Numida meleagris (helmeted guineafowl). RNAcentral describes it as "lncRNA (ENSNMEG00000016015.1)". Lineage: Eukaryota; Metazoa; Chordata; Aves; Galliformes; Numididae. The record is from RNAcentral.